UACGGGGGGAGCAAGCGUUGUUCGGAUUUACUGGGCGUAAAGGGCGCGUAGGCGGCCAGCACAAGUCAGUUGUGAAAUCUCCGAGCUUAACUCGGAAAGGUCAACUGAUACUGUGCGGCUAGAGUGCGGAAGGGGCAACUGGAAUUCUUGGUGUAGCGGUGAAAUGCGUAGAUAUCAAGAGGGACACCUGCGGCGAAGGCGGGUUGCUGGGCCGACACUGACGCUGAGGCGCGAAAGCCAGGGGAGCGAACGGG
RNAcentral lists this ribosomal RNA (254 nucleotides) under uncultured bacterium. Its description in RNAcentral is "partial 16S ribosomal RNA". It matches the Rfam family "Bacterial small subunit ribosomal RNA", at positions 524 to 776 of the family's 1533-position model. The record is from RNAcentral.